RNAcentral lists this ribosomal RNA (475 nucleotides) under uncultured bacterium. Its description in RNAcentral is "bacterial SSU rRNA". It matches the Rfam family "Bacterial small subunit ribosomal RNA", at positions 328 to 794 of the family's 1533-position model. The record is from RNAcentral.
AGGCCAGACUCCUACGGGAGGCAGCAGUGGGGAAUCUUCCGCAAUGGGCGAAAGCCUGACGGAGCAACGCCGCGUGAUCGAAUGAAGGCCUUCGGGUUGUAAAGAUCUGUUGACAGGGACGAAUAAGCAAUGCGAAUAGUUUUGUGUAUGACGGUACCUGUUUAGAAAGCUCCGGCUAACUACGUGCCAGCAGCCGCGGUAAUACGUAUGGGGCAAGCGUUAUCCGGAUUUACUGGGUGUAAAGGGAGCGUAGGCGGCAGGGCAUGCCUGAUGUGAAAGCCCGGGGCUCAACCCCGGGACUGCAUUGGGAACUGCCCCGCUCGAGUGCCGGAGGGGCAGGCGGAAUUCCUAGUGUAGCGGUGAAAUGCGUAGAUAUUAGGAGGAACACCAGUGGCGAAGGCGGCCUGCUGGACGGUGUACUGACGCUGAGGCUCGAAAGCGUGGGGAGCAAACAGGAUUAGAUACCCGAGUACGA